UCCUCUUUACAGAGGCAGUUUGUUUCGAGUUCCCGGCAUUACCCGCUGGCAACAAAACAUGAGGGUUGCGCUCGUUGCGGGACUUAACCCAACAUUUCACAACACGAGCUGACGACAGCCAUGCACCACCUGUGUAUCACCUUCGAAAGCGACUGCUUUUCGGCAGCUUGCAGAUACAUGUCAAGCCCUGGUAAGGUUCUUCGCGUUGCAUCGAAUUAAGCCAUAUGCUCCACCGCUUGUGCGGGCCCCCGCCAAUUCCUUUGAGUUUUAAUCUUGCGAUCGUAGUUCCCAGGCGGUUCACUUAAUGCGUUAGCUGCGGCACCGAGGCAAAGCCCCAACACCUAGUGAACAUCGUUUACAGCGUGGACUAC
RNAcentral lists this unclassified non-coding RNA (371 nucleotides) under uncultured bacterium. Its description in RNAcentral is "contains 16S-23S intergenic spacer region". The record is from RNAcentral.